CUUUUCCUCCUUCUGUUCGACCAAUUCAGUCAUGCACCCUCUAACCACUGCGAUUGGUCCAAUAAAGAAGGUGGAGUUUUU
Molecule: microRNA precursor, 81 nt
Filed under: Echinococcus granulosus
Lineage: Eukaryota; Metazoa; Platyhelminthes; Cestoda; Cyclophyllidea; Taeniidae
Description: microRNA egr-mir-10254 precursor
Source: miRBase by way of RNAcentral